CACGAACCGGACAAACGUUAUUCGGAAUUAUUGGGCUUAAAGGGUGCGUAGGCGGUGCGGUAAGUGCGGUGUGAAAUCCCUCGGCUCAACCGAGGAAUUGCGCUGCAUACUGCCGUGCUGGAGGGAGACAGAGGUAAGCGGAACUGAUGGUGGAGCGGUGAAAUGCGUUGAUAUCAUCAGGAACACCGGUGGCGAAAGCGGCUUACUGGGUCUCUUCUGACGCUGAGGCACGAAAGCUAGGGUAGCGAACGGG
RNAcentral lists this ribosomal RNA (253 nucleotides) under uncultured bacterium. Its description in RNAcentral is "partial 16S ribosomal RNA". It matches the Rfam family "Bacterial small subunit ribosomal RNA", at positions 524 to 776 of the family's 1533-position model. The record is from RNAcentral.